This 364-nucleotide ribosomal RNA is filed under the name Klebsiella aerogenes. Its description in RNAcentral is "bacterial SSU rRNA". It matches the Rfam family "Bacterial small subunit ribosomal RNA", at positions 69 to 431 of the family's 1533-position model. The record is from RNAcentral. Lineage: Bacteria; Pseudomonadati; Pseudomonadota; Gammaproteobacteria; Enterobacterales; Enterobacteriaceae.
GUAACACAGAGAGCUUGCUCUCGGGUGACGAGCGGCGGACGGGUGAGUAAUGUCUGGGAAACUGCCUGAUGGAGGGGGAUAACUACUGGAAACGGUAGCUAAUACCGCAUAACGUCGCAAGACCAAAGUGGGGGACCUUCGGGCCUCAUGCCAUCAGAUGUGCCCAGAUGGGAUUAGCUAGUAGGUGGGGUAAUGGCUCACCUAGGCGACGAUCCCUAGCUGGUCUGAGAGGAUGACCAGCCACACUGGAACUGAGACACGGUCCAGACUCCUACGGGAGGCAGCAGUGGGGAAUAUUGCACAAUGGGCGCAAGCCUGAUGCAGCCAUGCCGCGUGUAUGAAGAAGGCCUUCGGGUUGUAAAGU